RNAcentral lists this non-coding RNA (30 nucleotides) under Homo sapiens (human). The record is from RNAcentral. Lineage: Eukaryota; Metazoa; Chordata; Mammalia; Primates; Hominidae.
CCUCCGAGUAAUGUUUAAACUUGAUGCCAA